GUGGGGAAUAUUGGACAAUGGGCGCAAGCCUGAUCCAGCCAUGCCGCGUGAGUGAUGAAGGCCUUAGGGUUGUAAAGCUCUUUCAGUAGGGAAGAUAAUGACGGUACCUACAGAAGAAGCCCCGGCUAACUUCGUGCCAGCAGCCGCGGUAAUACGAAGGGGGCUAGCGUUGUUCGGAUUUACUGGGCGUAAAGCGCACGUAGGCGGUUUGUUAAGUCAGGGGUGAAAUCCCACAGCUCAACUGUGGAACUGCCCUUGAUACUGGCAAGCUAGAGUCCGGAAGAGGUAAGUGGAACUCCUAGUGUAGAGGUGGAAUUCGUAGAUAUUAGGAAGAACACCAGUGGCGAAGGCGGCUUACUGGUCCGGAACUGACGCUGAGGUGCGAAAGCGUGGGGAGCAAACAGGAUUAGAUACCCGAGUAGUCC
This 425-nucleotide ribosomal RNA is filed under the name uncultured bacterium. RNAcentral's name for it is "bacterial SSU rRNA". It matches the Rfam family "Bacterial small subunit ribosomal RNA", at positions 354 to 796 of the family's 1533-position model. The record is from RNAcentral.